UGAGAUAGAGAUUAGUGGUAGAGCACUUGCCUAGCAUGUGCAAGGCCCUGGGUUCAAUCCCCAGUACCACAA
RNAcentral lists this transfer RNA (72 nucleotides) under Ictidomys tridecemlineatus (thirteen-lined ground squirrel). Its description in RNAcentral is "Spermophilus tridecemlineatus (thirteen-lined ground squirrel) tRNA". It matches the Rfam family "tRNA". From Rfam's summary of the family: Transfer RNA (tRNA) molecules are approximately 80 nucleotides in length. The record is from Rfam by way of RNAcentral. Lineage: Eukaryota; Metazoa; Chordata; Mammalia; Rodentia; Sciuridae.